This 76-nucleotide transfer RNA is filed under the name Verrucomicrobia bacterium ADurb.Bin474. Its description in RNAcentral is "tRNA-Phe". It matches the Rfam family "tRNA". From Rfam's summary of the family: Transfer RNA (tRNA) molecules are approximately 80 nucleotides in length. Lineage: Bacteria; Pseudomonadati; Verrucomicrobiota. The record is from RNAcentral.
GGCUGGAUAGCUCAGUUGGUAGAGCAGAGGACUGAAAAUCCUUGUGUCCCCGGUUCAAAUCCGGGUCUAGCCACCA